RNAcentral lists this ribosomal RNA (253 nucleotides) under uncultured bacterium. Its description in RNAcentral is "partial 16S ribosomal RNA". It matches the Rfam family "Bacterial small subunit ribosomal RNA", at positions 524 to 776 of the family's 1533-position model. The record is from RNAcentral.
UACGUAGGGUGCAAGCGUUGUCCGGAAUUAUUGGGCGUAAAGAGCUCGUAGGCGGUUUGUCGCGUCGAAUGUGAAAACCCGGGGCUCAACCCCGGGCCUGCAUUCGAUACGGGCAGACUAGAGUUCGGUAGGGGAGUCUGGAAUUCCUGGUGUAGCGGUGAAAUGCGCAGAUAUCAGGAGGAACACCGGUGGCGAAAGCGGCUUCCUGGUCCAACAUUGACAUUCAGGUGCGAAAGCGUGGGGAGCAAACAGG